UCGACUUAACCAACUUAAUUUUGCUACAGUAAUUGGUUCUACCAAUUAAGUUAUGUUUUAGUUGAUACGAGUAACUGAUAGAUCAAUUCAACCUUUUUACUUUUUAUUUUUCGUGUUUUUCUUCCUCCAUUGUUCAUUAACAUUUAAAUUUUUAAUGUAAUAUUGCUUUUCAUUUUAAUCUAAUAACUCGGUUUUAUUUUAAGCUCAACUUCUCUUUUUUAACAGUCAAAACACUCUCAUAACACUCUUAUUCUCAAUUUAUCAAAUCCUACUACAAACGGUUCUCUAACUUGAACGGCACGAUCCAACAACAUUAAUUCACACGCAUGCCACCUGAUUCCGAGUAGCAGCCACACGUGUAGGUGUCUCCCAGUUCGUUACUUCAACAUCCCGUUUCCCGCUACCAAAUGUGUGUUCGUGUGCGUUUGAAUUUUAUUCACAUCUACACCGAUCUUUCAGCACUUGUAUUUUAACUUCCAAAUGACAAUAUGGUUGAAAGUAAAACUGCUGUUGUUGAGGCGAAAUAAAAAAAAAAAACAACAGCUUAUAAAACUGGUAAAACAAGCCUCCGUAUCGGUGAGAAGCUGCUGAACAAGGAGUGUAACGGGCGGGGUGCGCGUGGAGUUUCCUUCAGAUCGUCUUUCGCGAUCAACACGCUGUGUGAAUGCAGCAGCCUCCCAAGCCUCAUUUAUCUCAUGCGCGUAUGUAUAUGAACAGUGUGUGUUGAAAAAUCGAAAGUGAUUCAAAUCACCGGUCGCUAUCCAGCAGUCUUGAUUCGACCUUCUUCAGUGCAGCAUCGUGGCGGCUUUGGAUCCAGUUUGGAGGAGGCCUAAAAAGGAGAUAAUAACUUCUCAUCACAAGUAUUCUCCUUUCUGUUGCACAUUAAGAUUUUACUAUAGUUCGCAAGUGAUUCUAAAAGACUAAAGUGUGAUCGAGAAACAAAUAGAUAUUUAAAUAUAUUUUAUAAACAUGGUACGUUUAGUGGUUUUGUUGCUGUGCGUGUCGAUGGCGACAACGCAAAAACCGGGCAAUUUCAACUUCAAAGAGAAAGGUUUCAAAAGCAGCCAAAGUUACGAUAUAGAUCCACAAGUACUGGAAAUACAGCGACAAAACCUAAUAACGCAGAAGAUACUCCAGCGAUACCUGGAACGGCGGUUACAUCCGGGCCGCAAGCCACAGAUUCGUGUGCCAUCGGUGGAAGAAAUUCUUCCGAAACCCUUCUCCCCGCUCGCAUCUGUCCGGGACGUCCGGCAGCAAAAUCAAACCACCUCCAGCGAAAAUGGUGGCUCGCGGUACGAUCUGUUUAAUGGUCGGAAUGGUCGGCAGUACAACCGAACCGAGGAAGACGGUACUAUUCCGGACGAACAGUACACCGACGAAGAGGCGGAGGGUGAGGAUUAUCGGGAGGAGCGUGAUCUGGACCAGUAUGAUGAUCUGGGCGAAUCGUUCGACAACGAUCGUUACGACAUCGAAUCACUCCAGUCCGGCGAGUCGGAGCAUGUGGAUUCAUUCUAUCGCGACAAGUACUACAGCAAACAGAGAGCAUCUCAGCUCUCGGCACGCGAUUCUGGCGAAUUGCUUGAUUUGAAUGCUCUGGAUGAAGAUUUCGAAGAUGAUCCUGAGGUGAGCGUGCUGAGUGAGAUUACGAACGAAAUACGUUUGCGGCAGGAAGCGGCAAAAGGAUCUCCAGAAGAUUCCGGAGAUCGCACUGGCCGCGUGAAGCGACAAGCGAUCAAUAGCCGAACGUCACGGCGCGGACGAGUGACGUAUCGUGAUACACCAACGAUUACAAAUCGUGUUGAUGCACGAUACUACACGGCGGACGAUUAUGUCGACUAUCCGACAACACCCCGAACGAACAAGAAUCUUCGCGACAACUAUUCCGAAUAUAGGCUACUGUCCAAGAGUCGCAUUGCCGCUAACGAACCGGUCAAACCGAGUCGACCACGUGCGACUACAACACAAACGACACUUGCUCGAAAUGCUGCACGAUCGCGCAAUCGUAAUACGUUAAAAUCGUUGGCAUACAAACCAAAUGUUUACAAUGCCAACAGUCGCCGACCCACCUUUACGCUGUCGGCGUACAAUAAGGUUCCUACACGGCCCAGCAAUUCACGUCGUACAGGAAAUUCCCGAGGCACUUACAAGGAAGAAGAGCAAGGCCGAAACUGGAAUCGUUUUGGACAGUCAGCACCAUCAACGCAGGAUUGGCGCCGGAAGACGGUUAGUCUCGGCAGUUCCAACAUCCAACCGAGUACCGCCGCACUGACGGUGACGUUCUUCCUUCCGACGGACACAACCGUAUCGGUGGUGGCAAACUCCAAGACGGAGAUUAGUUUGAUCAAGACCACCACUACCAGCAUUGAGGAAAUAUGUACGUCCUGCUUCUCGUUGACCCAAGGCCCCAACGGACUGCCCGUGCACGUGCUCAACAAGGAGAUAACGUCCUUCAACAAUGACGGUCUGUUCGAGAUCACCAAGUUCAUUCUCAGCUCCACGCCCACCACUACGAUCUCGGUGUCCCAGAACACCUUCCGUGGUCGUUCGACCGCGUAUUCGGCGACCAUAUCGACCACAAUCUACGAAGCGACGCCUUUCGUUCAAACCAAGGGCAAACCUGCCGAUCCCAACUCGGUACUGUCGAACGCUCCGUUGGCAAAUAUUUUGCUUUCUCAGCUGCUUCUCGGCAAUCUGGGUGUAGCUCCCGAGCCAAACUUUAUCCCGCGCCCGACCGAGUUCUUGCCGGAUCCGAACCGCUACCAAGUGGUGGUGACAACGGCCACCGACUACAAGACGCAUGUGAAGGAAAUUGUGGAGACGGUCACCCAGACGAAAUCGAUCGUACUGCCGGUAACAUUCCAGGGACGCGAGAUCCUUACCACCGUGUAUGAGAGUGACGUUACCAGCACCGUCAUAACAUCCUUCAUUACCGAAACACUUACCAUCCCGACGACUUCCACUAUUCGCAUUCAACCGACAACGAAUCCGGCGGACGAUUUGUCAAACAAGUUGAGUCUUCUAUUGCCGCUGCUUGAAGAGCGGGAGCGACAAAAUCGCCUACUGUCUGCCAUUGAACCAACGCUGCCGAUCGUCUCAUCAGCGCCACCAACGAUUGCGCCCUCACCGACAGCCACUAGUGCCGUGUCGAAGGUGUACGUGUCCGGACAGCAUCCUGGCGAGUUUAGCGUGUCCUUCACCACCAUCUUUAAUACGUAAAACUUGCACAAUUUGACCUCUCGUCGAGGAGCACUCUCUGCCAGAGGUCCUGUUUCUAGUAGGUCAUCCUGAUGAAAGCUACUAGAUAUUGCAAUACUCAACUUGAUUUUAGGAUUAAAUUAGGCUAGCGUUGAGUCACCCGAUCCCGAAUGCGUUUUUUUUUGUUGUUCGCUCACCUCAAACAAGACGGCAAACAACGUCGGAGAAGCAUCAAACAGCACCCCAUAAUUCGACCCGAUAGAAUCGACGGGACCUUACAGUAGUUUUUUAAUACAAUCUCUACACGAACGGAGAGACUAUGAUGGAAGUGUGAGCCCAACCGAGGGGCUUACCAGAAGACAAAUACAUUCCGCGUAUAAAGACCAAACCAUGUCAGAGAUUUAGCGCAUGGGCUACAUCUUUCGUUGAUUGAAAUGUUUUCAUCAUGAAUAAAUCGUACUAAAGCUGUGAAGAUAGAAACGGAA
RNA transcript from Anopheles funestus (African malaria mosquito), 3680 nucleotides. RefSeq lists it as uncharacterized. The record is from RefSeq and is a predicted model, not a curated record. Lineage: Eukaryota; Metazoa; Arthropoda; Insecta; Diptera; Culicidae. The transcript has 7 exons.